UGGCCUUAAAUUGCUCUAGUAUUCCCUUGAUUGGCCAUUUGAAUGUAUACACUUGGAUUUGUUUAGGUCCCCUUCUAUAUUGUCACUCCUUAUAGUAUUCUUACUCAGUCUUCUAUUGCUUCUGAUUGAUUUUAUCAUGUCUACAUAAUCCAUUACUAGAUGUUUGAAUGGCCCUUCUGGGACUGGUAUGUGGCCUAUAGGUGCAGAUGUUCCUUUCCUAACAUUGUUUUGGGUGCAAACUUUGCAUUCAGAUAAAUACUCAUCCACCAUUGCCUGUAAACAAGGUGACCAAAAUCCUUGUCACUUUAUUUAUUUAUUUUUUAUUGACUCCCCCCCCUCAGAGAUAAAGAUUUCAAGCAAUGGAGUAGGAGCAAUCAUAUGGCUCUCAUGAAAUUGUCAAAGCCCAUUUUGCAUUACGUGUUGUUUCCCUUUGUUGCCAUAGACUAAUUUCAUAUGGUGUAGCUUGAUGUUGCAUCCAUGCAAUCAUUAAUUGUGGUUGAGGUUGAAUCAGAACAGAGGGAGCCAUUAUUUUUGUUUCACAGCCUGAGGCAUUUCUAGAAUAUUUAUUUACUGCAUUAUUGCCUUGUAUCAUUGCCCUCUUAGUUAGCUGGAUUGAUUUGUAUAUGUUUUAAACAUGCAAAUAGAACGGUUUGUCAUACGUGGGCAUGGUCAAGACAGGAGCAGUCUGUAAUUCUUUUUUUUUUUUAUUGAAAUGCUAUUAGUGCUUCAGUAUUACAUACCAGUGGUGCCCUAAGAUUCUGAUGGCCCACUUGCUUCAUUAGUGCUCUUAGUGGAGCUGUUUUGAUUGCAUAAUCAUCAUUCCAAUCUGCACUAAAACUUGUCAUCCCC
Long non-coding RNA from Sinocyclocheilus anshuiensis, 849 nucleotides. RefSeq lists it as uncharacterized. NCBI's taxonomy places the organism in Eukaryota, Metazoa, Chordata, Actinopteri, Cypriniformes, Cyprinidae. The record is from RefSeq and is a predicted model, not a curated record. The transcript has 2 exons.